This 854-nucleotide ribosomal RNA is filed under the name uncultured Chloroflexota bacterium. Its description in RNAcentral is "bacterial SSU rRNA". It matches the Rfam family "Bacterial small subunit ribosomal RNA", at positions 28 to 896 of the family's 1533-position model. Lineage: Bacteria; Bacillati; Chloroflexota. The record is from RNAcentral.
AAUUAACGUUAGCGGCGUGCCUGAUGCAUGCAAGUCGAACGGUCUGAUAGUUCGUAAGGAUUGUCAGAUAGUGGCGAACGGCUGAGUAACGCGUAAGUAACCUGCCUCUAAGUGGGGAAUAACUUGCCGAAAGGCAAGCUAAUACCGCAUAUGCUGGUAAAUUGAUGGUUUAUCAGUAAAGCCGUAAGGCGCUUGGAGAGGGGCUUGCGUCUGAUUAGCUUGUUGGUGGGGUAAUGGCCUACCAAGGCGAUGAUCAGUAGCUGGUCUGAGAGGACAACCAGCCAGACGGGGACUGAGAUACGGCCCUGACUCCUACGGGAGGCAGCAGCAAGGAAUUUUGCGCAAUGGGCGAAAGCCUGACGCAGCGACGCCGCGUGGGGGAUGAAGGCCUUCGGGGUGUAAACCCCUUUUCCCGGGGAAGAAUAAUGACGGUACUCGGGGAAUAAGUCUUGGCUAACUACGUGCCAGCAGCCGCGGUAAUACGUAGGAGGCAAACGUUAUUCGGAUUUACUGGGCGUAAAGCGGGUGUAGACGGCUCCUUAAGUCGGGUGUGAAAUCUCCUAACUCAAUUAGGAGGGGUCAUUCGAUACUGGGGAGCUUGAGGGCAGAAGAGGAAGGUGGAAUUCCCGGUGUAGCGGUGAUAUGCGUAGAUAUCGGGAGGAACACCAGUGGCGAAGGCGACCUUCUGGGAUGUACCUAACGUUGAGACCCGAAAGCGUGGGGAGCGAAACGGAUUAGAUACCCGUGUAGUCCACGCCCUAAACAUUGGACACUAGGUAUGGGGGGUAUCGACCCUCUCCGUGCCGAAGUUAACGCUUUAAGUGUCCCGCCUGGGGACUACGGCCGCAAGGCUA